This 752-nucleotide ribosomal RNA is filed under the name uncultured bacterium. RNAcentral's name for it is "bacterial SSU rRNA". It matches the Rfam family "Bacterial small subunit ribosomal RNA", at positions 8 to 796 of the family's 1533-position model. The record is from RNAcentral.
AGAGUUUGAUCAUGGCUCAGAACGAACGCUGGCGGCGUGCCUAACACAUGCAAGUCGAACGAAGGCUCCCUUCGGGGAUGUCCUUAGUGGCGCACGGGUGAGUAACGCGUGGGAAUCUGUCCAGGUGUGGGGAAUAACUACGGGAAACUGUAGCUAAUACCGCAUACGCCCUACGGGGGAAAGGCUUCGGCCGCAUUUGGAUGAGCCCGCGUAAGAUUAGCUAGUUGGUGGGGUAAUGGCCUACCAAGGCUACGAUCUUUAACUGGUCUGAGAGGACGAUCAGUCACACUGGAACUGAGACACGGUCCAGACUCCUACGGGAGGCAGCAGUGGGGAAUUUUGCACAAUGGGGGAAACCCUGAUGCAGCGACGCCGCGUGGGUGAUGAAGGCCUUAGGGUUGUAAAGCCCUUUCAGCAGGGAAGAUGAUGACGGUACCUGCAGAAGAAGCCCCGGCUAACUCCGUGCCAGCAGCCGCGGUAAUACGGAGGGGGCUAGCGUUGUUCGGAAUUACUGGGCGUAAAGCGCGCGUAGGCGGCUUGAAAAGUUGGGUGUGAAAUCCCGGGGCUCAACCCCGGAACUGCAUUCAAAACUUUCUGGCUAGAGACUUAGAGAGGUGGGCGGAAUUCCGAGUGUAGAGGUGAAAUUCGUAGAUAUUCGGAAGAACACCGUGCGAAGGCGGCUCACUGGCUAAGUUCUGACGCUGAGGUGCGAAAGCGUGGGGAGCAAACAGGAUUAGAUACCCUAGUAGUCC